UGGGGAAUUUUGGACAAUGGGCGCAAGCCUGAUCCAGCAAUGCCGCGUGCAGGAUGAAGGCCUUCGGGUUGUAAACUGCUUUUGUACGGAACGAAAAGGCUCUGGCUAAUACCUGGGGCACAUGACGGUACCGUAAGAAUAAGCACCGGCUAACUACGUGCCAGCAGCCGCGGUAAUACGUAGGGUGCGAGCGUUAAUCGGAAUUACUGGGCGUAAAGCGUGCGCAGGCGGUUUUGUAAGACAGAGGUGAAAUCCCCGGGCUCAACCUGGGAACUGCCUUUGUGACUGCAAGGCUGGAGUGCGGCAGAGGGGGAUGGAAUUCCGCGUGUAGCAGUGAAAUGCGUAGAUAUGCGGAGGAACACCGAUGGCGAAGGCAAUCCCCUGGGCCUGCACUGACGCUCAUGCACGAAAGCGUGGGGAGCAAACAGGAUUAGAUACCCCUGGUAGUCCACGCCCUAAACGAUGUCAACUGGUUGUUGGGUCUUAAUUGACUCAGUAACGAAGCUAACGCGUGAAGUUGGACCGCCUGGGGGAGUACGGCCGCAAGGUUGAAACUUAAAUGAAUUGACGGGGGUCAU
Molecule: ribosomal RNA, 578 nt
Filed under: uncultured bacterium
Lineage: Bacteria
Description: partial 16S ribosomal RNA
Rfam family: Bacterial small subunit ribosomal RNA
Source: RNAcentral